UGUGUGGGUCUAUUGUGACAUUCAGUAAGCUUUUGGUUUCCCAGGAUUCCCGUGGACAGAAUGGACUCGGGUAAAGUCUGCCUUCAAAACAAAACACAAACUCGUGCUGUUUUACUUUAAAUGUGCUAAAGAUGUGUUCUGUUUGAUUCAUUGAAAGAGCCGGUGUUUAAGUCAGCGCAGCUGGAUAGGAUUUCAUUUCUAGCUCAACCAAAGAGGUCAAAGGCAGUCUGGGCCACAACACCAUGGGUGUUGACGUGGGGGAAUCAGGAAUCGAUUCGUCCUCUGUCCCGUGCAGCCUUGCAAGCUGUUCCGAGUCCCAGAAUAAAGGCUCUGGCUCAGCACAAAGACCUCGCGCUUCAGAUUCAGCUCAGCUUUCCUCAUUCUCCGCUGUGUGAUCAUGACUGCCCCAUCUGGCAUGUGAGUCCCAGUGUGAGGAACGCGAUCGUCUCUCCUCGAAUCCUCCACCUGGCGAAACCCAAACACAACCACCCCAACUUUACCAGCAACAGACAGUGGUGUUUGUGUGUGUUUGUACAUCCAUAACGUGCAGACCCUGAUCUCAUAUGCAGCUCAAACGGCCCGCAUGACCUCCAGACUCCAGCAGCUCUCCCUGCCCAGACUGAGAGAGAACACACACUUCUGUGAGCCCGGACCACCAGAGAGCCCCAUCACACCCGUGUCCAGAGGAGCGAGAAAAGCCACAGCGAGUGCUCGAAUCCGCAGUUUAUCCACUCCUAAAGCCCUCUCCAAAGACUACAUCCCACCCAGAGACCCGACGUGGCGCUCCUGAAGGACCUUAGGGACGUGAACGAUUCACUCAAGAUUCAUCAUCUGAGCUUUACUGCGGUCUGUCAUCUUCUCACACUGUUUUCCUCCUCUGUCAGGAGCUUCCUUCGCUCUGCUUUUCUAAUAACACUCUCAGGUUUUGGCCUGGACUGAUAUUAUUAUUGUUAGCCUGCUGCCAAACUCAGCUCCUCAAACAGGGCCUUGUGUUUCACUCCUGCACUGUGUCCAGAGCGUCUCUUCUGCACUCACUGGCUGGAGAAAUCACCGUGAGAUGAUCUGAGUAUCCGCAUCUGGUUUGCAGAUCAGCAGAACUUUCAUUCAUCACAGAUCUCACUGAAAUCACGUGUAUGUAGCCGUAUAAAUAUGACUCUUAAAGUCAAGUUAUUUAGGUGUCAGCAUAAUAUGUUGCUCUUAAUGUUGUCUAUUAGUGCUCUGGAACAUUUGCGUUUAGUUGAAUAAAUUGACAAAGAUAAAAUAAA
Non-coding RNA from Danio rerio (zebrafish), 1265 nucleotides. NCBI's taxonomy places the organism in Eukaryota, Metazoa, Chordata, Actinopteri, Cypriniformes, Danionidae. The record is from RefSeq and is a predicted model, not a curated record.